This 1228-nucleotide ribosomal RNA is filed under the name Chryseobacterium rhizosphaerae. RNAcentral describes it as "bacterial SSU rRNA". It matches the Rfam family "Bacterial small subunit ribosomal RNA", at positions 96 to 1333 of the family's 1533-position model. Lineage: Bacteria; Pseudomonadati; Bacteroidota; Flavobacteriia; Flavobacteriales; Weeksellaceae. The record is from RNAcentral.
CGGCGUACGGGUGCGGAACACGUGUGCAACCUGCCUUUAUCAGGGAGAUAGCCUUUCGAAAGGAAGAUUAAUACCCCAUAAUAUAUUAAGUGGCAUCACUUGAUAUUGAAAACUACGGUGGAUAGAGAUGGGCACGCGCAAGAUUAGAUAGUUGGUAGGGUAACGGCCUACCAAGUCUACGAUCUUUAGGGGGCCUGAGAGGGUGAUCCCCCACACUGGUACUGAGACACGGACCAGACUCCUACGGGAGGCAGCAGUGAGGAAUAUUGGACAAUGGGUGCAAGCCUGAUCCAGCCAUCCCGCGUGAAGGACGACGGCCCUAUGGGUUGUAAACUUCUUUUGUAUAGGGAUAAACCUACAUACGUGUAUCUUGCUGAAGGUACUAUACCAAUAAACACCGGCUAACUCCGUCCAGCAGCCGCGGUAAUACAGAAGGUGCAAGCGUUAUCCGGAUUUAUUGGGUUGAAAGGGUCCGUAGGCGGAUCUGUAAGUCAGUGUUGAAGUCUCACAGCUUAACUGUGAAACUGCCAUUGAUACUGCACGUCUUGACUGUUGUUGAAGUAACUGGAAUAAAUAUUGUAGCGGUGAAAUGCAUAGAUAUUACUUAGAACACCACUUGCGAAGGCAGGGUACUAACCAGCAACUGACGCUGAUGUACGAAGGCGUGGCGAGCGAACAGGAUUAGAUACCCUGGUAGUCCACGCCGUAAACGAUGCUAACUCGUUUUUGGGUUUUCGGAUUCAGAGACUAAGCGAAAGUGAUAAGUUAGCCACCUGGGGAGUACGUUCGCAAGAAUGAAACUCAAAGGAAUUGACGGGGGCCCGCACAAGCGGUGGAUUAUGUGGUUUAAUUCGAUGAUACGCGAGGAACCUUACCAAGGCUUAAAUGGGAAAUGACAGGUUUAGAAAUAGACUUUUCUUCGGACAUUUUUCAAGGUGCUGCAUGGUUGUCGUCAGCUCGUGCCGUGAGGUGUUAGGUUAAGUCCUGCAACGAGCGCAACCCCUGUCACUAGUUGCCAUCAUUAAGUUGGGGACUCUAGUGAGACUGCCUACGCAAGUAGAGAGGAAGGUGGGGAUGACGUCAAAUCAUCACGGCCCUUACGCCUUGGGCCACACACGUAAUACAAUGGCCAGUACAGAGGGCAGCUACACAGCGAUGUGAUGCAAAUCUCGAAAGCUGGUCUCAGUUCGGAUUGGAGUCUGCAACUCGACUCUAUGAAGCUGGAAUC